This 468-nucleotide ribosomal RNA is filed under the name uncultured bacterium. Its description in RNAcentral is "partial 16S ribosomal RNA". It matches the Rfam family "Bacterial small subunit ribosomal RNA", at positions 28 to 507 of the family's 1533-position model. The record is from RNAcentral.
GACGAACGCUGGCGGCGUGCUUAACACAUGCAAGUCGAACGGAAAGGCCCUGCUUUUGUGGGGUGCUCGAGUGGCGAACGGGUGAGUAACACGUGAGUAACCUGCCCUUGACUUUGGGAUAACUUCAGGAAACUGGGGCUAAUACCGGAUAGGAGCUCCUGCUGCAUGGUGGGGGUUGGAAAGUUUCGGCGGUUGGGGAUGGACUCGCGGCUUAUCAGCUUGUUGGUGGGGUAGUGGCUUACCAAGGCUUUGACGGGUAGCCGGCCUGAGAGGGUGACCGGCCACAUUGGGACUGAGAUACGGCCCAGACUCCUACGGGAGGCAGCAGUGGGGAGUAUUGCACAAGGGGCGGAAGCCUGAUGCAGCAACGCCGGGUGCGGGAUGACGGCCUUCGGGUUGUAGACCGCUUUCGCCUGUGACGAAGCGUGAGUGACGGUAAUGGGUAAAGAAGCACCGGCUAACUACGUG